This 73-nucleotide transfer RNA is filed under the name Rikenellaceae bacterium. Its description in RNAcentral is "tRNA-Thr". It matches the Rfam family "tRNA". From Rfam's summary of the family: Transfer RNA (tRNA) molecules are approximately 80 nucleotides in length. Their secondary structure includes four short double-helical elements and three loops (D, anti-codon, and T loops). The record is from RNAcentral. Lineage: Bacteria; Pseudomonadati; Bacteroidota; Bacteroidia; Bacteroidales; Rikenellaceae.
GCUGUUGUAGCUCAGCUGGUAGAGCACAUCACUCGUAAUGAUGAGGUCGCGGGUUCGAAUCCCACCAACAGCU